This 544-nucleotide ribosomal RNA is filed under the name uncultured bacterium. RNAcentral describes it as "bacterial SSU rRNA". It matches the Rfam family "Bacterial small subunit ribosomal RNA", at positions 777 to 1319 of the family's 1533-position model. The record is from RNAcentral.
AAUAGAUACCCCGGUAGUCCACGCCGUAAACGAUGAGUGCUAAGUGUUAGGGGGUUUCCGCCCCUUAGUGCUGCAGCUAACGCAUUAAGCACUCCGCCUGGGGAGUACGGUCGCAAGACUGAAACUCAAAGGAAUUGACGGGGGCCCGCACAAGCGGUGGAGCAUGUGGUUUAAUUCGAAGCAACGCGAAGAACCUUACCAGGUCUUGACAUCCCAUUGACCGUUAUGGAGAUAUAGCUUUUCCUUCGGGGACAGCGGUGACAGGUGGUGCAUGGUUGUCGUCAGCUCGUGUCGUGAGAUGUUGGGUUAAGUCCCGCAACGAGCGCAACCCUUGUUCUUAGUUGCCAUCAUUUAGUUGGGCACUCUAAGGAGACUGCCGGUGACAAACCGGAGGAAGGUGGGGAUGACGUCAAAUCAUCAUGCCCCUUAUGACCUGGGCUACACACGUGCUACAAUGGACGGUACAAACGGUUGCCAACCCGCGAGGGGGAGCUAAUCCGAUAAAACCGUUCUCAGUUCGGAUUGUAGGCUGCAACUCGCCUAC